UAGGGAAUCUUCGGCAAUGGACGAAAGUCUGACCGAGCAACGCCGCGUGAGUGAAGAAGGUUUUCGGAUCGUAAAACUCUGUUGUUAGAGAAGAACAAGGACGUUAGUAACUGAACGUCCCCUGACGGUAUCUAACCAGAAAGCCACGGCUAACUACGUGCCAGCAGCCGCGGUAAUACGUAGGUGGCAAGCGUUGUCCGGAUUUAUUGGGCGUAAAGCGAGCGCAGACGGUUUCUUAAGUCUGAUGUGAAAGCCCCCGGCUCAACCGGGGAGGGUCAUUGGAAACUGGGGGACUUGAGUGCAGAAGAGGAGAGUGGAAUUCCAUGUGUAGCGGUGAAAUGCGUAGAUAUAUGGAGGAACACCAGUGGCGAAGGCGGCUCUCUGGUCUGUAACUGACGCUGAGGCUCGAAAGCGUGGGGAGCAAACAGG
Molecule: ribosomal RNA, 429 nt
Filed under: Gemmatimonadota bacterium
Lineage: Bacteria; Pseudomonadati; Gemmatimonadota
Description: Gemmatimonadetes bacterium partial 16S ribosomal RNA
Rfam family: Bacterial small subunit ribosomal RNA
Source: RNAcentral